UGCACAACCUUAAACUUUAACAAAAUAAUACAUUUUGUUCGCCAGGGUACUACGAGCAUAAGCUUAAAACCUAAAGGACUUGGCGGUGCUUUAGUCCCAUCUAGAGGAGCCUGUUCUGUAACCGAUAACCCCCGUUAAACCUCACCUUUUCUUGUUAAUUCCGCCUAUAUACCGCCGCCGUCAGCUUACCCUGUGAAGGUUAUUUAGUAAGCAAAAUUGAUUUAAUCCAAAACGUCAGGUCGAGGUGUAGCGUAUGAAAAGGAAAGAAAUGGGCUACAUUUCCUAUAUUAGGAUAAUACGGAAAUUGACAUGAAACAAGCACAUUCAAGGAGGAUUUAGCAGUAAGAAGGGAAUAGAGAGCCCUACUGAAACUGGCCCUGAAGC
RNAcentral lists this ribosomal RNA (384 nucleotides) under Fundulopanchax scheeli. Its description in RNAcentral is "partial 12S rRNA". It matches the Rfam family "Bacterial small subunit ribosomal RNA", at positions 793 to 1380 of the family's 1533-position model. The record is from RNAcentral. Lineage: Eukaryota; Metazoa; Chordata; Actinopteri; Cyprinodontiformes; Nothobranchiidae.